This is a long non-coding RNA of Beta vulgaris subsp. vulgaris (sugar beet), 6217 nucleotides long. RefSeq lists it as uncharacterized. The transcript is spliced from 2 exons. The record is from RefSeq and is a predicted model, not a curated record. NCBI's taxonomy places the organism in Eukaryota, Viridiplantae, Streptophyta, Magnoliopsida, Caryophyllales, Amaranthaceae.
GUAACAUAAAAAACCAAUAAUUUGAAGAGAAGAAAGCGUGAGUGCGUGACUCACUUUCUCACUUUUCUCUGUUCACUUUCUCAAUUCUACCUCACCCUCACGCCGCUGCUGCUACUGCUGCCUGGAAACAGAAGAUUAACAGGCUGCCGGAAUUGCCGCUAGUGGAUUCUGGUGCAACUGUGAUUUUACUUGUUGAACAUUUAUUGAGUCCGUCUAAGAUUCGAGGACAAGGGUGUAACGAGGCUAGUAACAUGAAGGGUGAAAUCAAUGGCCUUAAAACUUUGAUUGAGGAUGAUACUCCAAGUGCUUACUAUGUUCAUUGUUUUGCUCAUCAACUCCAACUAACUCUUGUUACCGUUCCUAACAAAGAUAAUGAGUGUGCUUGGCUUUUUGUUACACUUUUGUUGAAUAUUGUUGGAGUUUCUUGUAAAAGAGGAGAAAUGAUUCGAAAAAUUCAAGCUCGAAAACUUGAUGAAGCCUUGAGAUGGGUAAACUUGUAACAGGCCAGGGUUAAAUUAAUAACUUGGUUUGAAAAGGCCGGUGAAACUCGUUGGGGUUCACAUUACAAAACAUUUCUAAAUAGUAUCAACUUGUUUCCUACAAUUGUUAAGGUACUUGUGAUAAUUAGGAAGAAUGACGCCAAUGCGAAUGAUAAGGCAAAAUCCCAAGUAUUGUGUACUCAUUAAAGUCAUUUGCUUUUGUUAUUAUGGAACUAUUAAUGAAGACAAUAUUUGUGUACACUAAUGAUUCAUGUCUUGCUUUGCAAAGAAAAGAUCAAAAAUAUUGUUACUGCCAUGAGACUUGCUAUUAUAACUAAACGAGCAUUGCAAAGAAUGAGAGAUUGUGGAUGAGAGACUGAUAGGUUAUUGUACUAUUGUCAAAAAUAAUUCGUGUAAAACCUUCUAACAAUAUAGUAGGGUAAGUAGGGUUGAAUCCAUAGGGAUAUGGUCGUUUUAAUCUAGUUUAUAUGGUAUAGAGAAACUAAACAAGAUCACAAAUAUUUGAAUUAAAGUUCUAAACUAAUCAAACUAUGAAAAUCAAACUAAAAAGGCUCUAGGGUAAUGGUUCACCAUGUUUAUAACUAUAAUCUAUCAAAAUAUCAUUAAUAAUUCAAUUAUUUAGAUAUCUAGAGUACAUGUUAUUCCUACGGCCGGGUCUUAACGCUCUCAAAUCAACAUAUGCUAGUACGGUCACUCAAUAUAAUCAUAUUUGCUAAUUAUAGGUAAGCCUUUAAAGACUACUAUCUCUCAAUCUAUGACUCAAUAUUAGUAAUAUUUAAUCAGAUAAUUAGUCAGAUUACGAGAUUAAUAAUAAAAACACUAAUCAAUUAGAGAAAUAAGUAACUAAUCAAAGUAUGAAUAAAUAUCAAUCAAUAAUCAUAUCUUAUAAACAUGGAUUUCCAAAUCCUAGAAAUAAAAACUAAAAAAUCAUGAAAUAAAUAAUGAAAUCUAAGUUUACAAAGAAAAGCAAAAUCAAAGAAAUCAAGGAAAAGAACUAAUGAAACUCAUGAAUUAAUGAAGAAGAAUAAAAACUAGGGUUUACAACUAAAAACUAGACAGAAAAAGAGGAGAAAACUAAACUAAAAACUAGAAUACAAAUAACGUGUGUAGCGAGGAGAGAGAGAAGAGAUAUUCCUAAUCUAUAUAAUAUUCAAUAACCUAAUAUGACUAGGAAAGUAAUUUAUAAGAUAAGGAAAGUCUUUGAAUAUAUCAUUAAAUAGGAGGAUUAACGAUCCGCGCGUACGCGUGGCAGAUUCCAGCAGAAAUAGUGCAAUCUUCCGAAAGGCAUAACUCCUUGACUAGAAGUCUCCUCGAGGCGUGCCACCUAUCUUUGGAAAUGUCUUCAAGUCUAGAUUUCAAAAUUUGCUGAAAUCAUUCAAUUUUAAGAAGUAAAUCAAAAGUUAUAGGCGCCGACGAAGGAGUUCGGUGCCGAUGGUGAUGGUAGGCGGCGCCGGUGAACGGGAAAGGUAACAUUGUUUGUGAUGCGCACAGAAGAAGUUUGCUGGUGGGAGGUGAGGGAGCGUAAGGACCGGCUCAUUAGCGAGGCAGAGGAGAAAUGGUGUGGUGCUGGUAGAAGGUCGGGGUGGUGCGUUAGUGCACUGCUGGGUGAGACAAAUGGAAUCCGGUGAUGUGGUGGGAUGCGCCAGCGAACAUAGCUGUGAUCUGGUGGUGAGCAAAGAAUGGGACAAGGGAACGAAGGAAAGAGAAGGUCACUGGAGCAAAGGUUUUAAAAAUUCUCCCUCGCCCGGUCAAGAGAAAAAAUAGCCCAGUUAGGCCAUUUAGCCCGGUCAACCGGGCAAGAAACAGUUAGGCAAAAUUUUGAAAAUCUUCAAAAUUUGCUUGCGCGCCCGGUGGGGUUUUUCUACCCGGUCGACCGGGAGACCAGAUACUUCGCCAAAUUCUUUUUUUUUUUGUCUUUUUUAAACUCGUUCCACCUACAACAAACACAAAAAAACACAUCAAAGUGGGUAAUAACACUAAAAAAAAGGAAGAAACAAAGUCAAAAAUCAAAACAAAAAAGUAAAGAAAAGAGAAAUUAAGUCAAGACUCGAGUUGCCUUUCGAGAAGCGCAAAUUUAAGGUCUUGCAUGACCAUAUAAGAUUAGUAGACUACUCAUAAUAUUUCAAUGCUCUAAGAAGUUUAUCAUAUGUUCCUGCAAACAUCUCAAGAGCAUGUUGUAUAAGAAUGGAAAGGAAAAAUGGAAAAAAUUAGUCCUAAAAAUCUAUGAAAACUACGAAAAGAAAAAGCAAAGGAAAAAUUAUAUUUACAAGAAGAAGAAUAAGAAAAAACGCUAGUCUUUUUACAUGACUCAAAAGAAUGAAAAGAAAUUAAUUAAGUUUACAUUAGUUACAUGAUCAUAAGUGUCAUUCAAAAGGGGAGAAAAAAAAAAGAAAGAUGGAGGAUAUAAUAUAGGGGAAGAGGGAAGAUGAUCAAGUUUUGAGAGAAUGGAACACGAGACUCAAAAACAGUAUGUGGUACUGAUAAAGACUCAUAAAUCACCUCACGCUCAACUUGACUUUUCUCCAAAGAGGAAAUUUGAACUAUGGCUUCUUGCUCCUGCAAAACACCAUCACAUUAGUCGUUCUUUCAAUGUUUUCAUUAUCCCAAUAGCUCUCAUUUAUUAUCCACCCCUCAUUAUCAUAAAAAACAAAUGGGUUGGGGUUCAAAUUGGGAAGAGGGUCAAAACCAUUUACUGAUGUCACAUCACACGAAGAAAAAUCAUGAGAAGUAGACUGACAAUUAGAACAAUAAGGGGGUGGUUUCAUGAAAGUUUGGGGUGAAAGAGCAGAUGAAGACAUCUCCCACUCAUAAGUGUCCCUAGCCAACCACACAAGUAAAUCCCAACAAUAAUCAGGUGAUUGGAAUAGAAAUCCCCCAUUAGAAAUUGAUUCUACCAUCAUCCUAGUCUCUUCAUUCAACCCUUCGUAAACCACUAGGCACAUACCCCACAAUUCAUUUCCAUGAUUAGGACCAAUAAAAUCACCAAACCUAUGAUAGUAAUUCCUAGAAUUACUAACAUGCACAUGGGGUUCACAAAACAUAUGAGGUAAUUCAGGAGAACUCAUGCAAAAAUUGAGAAAAUUUUGAUAUGAUGAAUCAAAACUGUAAACAUGAGAAUCCUAGGAAUUAUUACUAUGUUACCUAGCAAAAGAAUUAUCUCCAUCAUCAAAAUAGCAUGACUCCAUGAUACAAAAAAAAAAUUCUUUUAAAAAAAUAAAUAUUCACAAAAGGGAAAAAAAAUAUACAAUUUAGUCUCACCAACAAUAAAAACUAAAUAGAACUAUACCGUCUCACCGGCAACGACGCCCAAAUUUGAAUCCACAGAGAGAUGGUCGUAUUAAUCUAGUUUCUAUGGUAUAGAGAAACUAAACAAGAUCCCAACUAUUUGAAUUAAAGUUCUAAACUAAUCAAACUACGAAAAUCAAACGAAAAAGGAUUUAGGGUAAUGGUUCACCAUGUUUAUAACUAUAAUCUAUCUAAAUAUCAUUAUUAGUUCAAUUAAUCAGAUAUCUAGAGCACAGGUUAAUCCUAUGGUCGGAUCUUAACACUCUCAAAUCAACAUAUGCUAGUACGGUCGCUCAACAUAAUCAGAUUUGCUAAUUGUAGGUAAACCCCUCAAGAGUACUAUUUCUUGAUCUAUGACUCAGUAUUAGCAAUAUUUAAUUGGGCGAUUGAUCACAUUGCAAGUUUAACAAUAAAAACACUAAUCAAUUAGAGAAAUAAGUAACUAAUCCAACCAUGAAUAAAUAUCAAUCAAUAAUCAUACCAUAUAAACAUGGAUUCCCAAACCCUAUAAAUAAAACUACUCUAUCAUGAAAUAAACAAUGAAAUCUAAGUCUACAAAGAAAAGCAUAAUCAAAGAAAUCAAGGAAAGGAACUAAUGAAACUCAUGAAUUAAUGAAGAACAAUAAAAACCAGGAUGUACAACUAAAAACUAGAGAAAAAGAGAGGAGAAAACUAAACUAAAACCUAGAAUACAAAAUAAUGUGUGUAGCGAGGAGAGAGAGAAGAGAUAUUCCUAAUCUAAAAAAUAUUCAAUAACCUAAAAUCUAGGAAAGUAAUUUACAAGAUAAGGAAAAGUCUUGAAUUCAUUAAAUAGGCGGAUUAAUGAUCCGCGCGUACACGUGGCUGAUUCUAGCAGAAACAUUGCAAUCUUCCAAAGACAUAACCUAUUGUAGGAAAUCUCUUCAAGUUUAGUUUCCAAAUCAGCUGGAAUCAUUCAUUUCUAAGAAGUACAUCAAAAGUUAUGAUCAGAAGAGUAGACGUGACUCCUUUUUCACAUUUUUUCUAAUGAUUUUCCACUUCGUUUUUACUCAAACUCGUAGUAUGACAUAACCAUAUGAUCCUUAUUUAUUGUAGAUUCUUUCCAAGUGCUCCUAAUCCACAAGCAUAUCUAAUCAUACUCCAAAUAUGUUCUCAUGGCCUGAAAUUCAUCAAAAACAAGAAAACAUACCAAAUAGGAGUAGAAUAACAUAACUUAAGAAUAUGAUGCAAUAAUGAAGCUAAAUAUGAAACUAAAUUCUCUAAAAUGCAACCUAAAUGCACCUAAAAACUAUAAAUAAAAAUGACUUAUCAGAGACUCACUUGAAUAAGGUCACCUCAUUUUGCAUGAAAAAUAACAUUAUUGUUUCGGUUAUGGAGGCCCAUUAUAUCCCUUAAGGAAGAUCUAAGCGUUUUCUUCAAGAAGCCACAUACCUUCAUCAUUAUUGACUUGAAGUUUUUAUUGGAAUGAUUGAUUUGUUACUCCAAGAACUUAAUAGUGGAUUUGAUGAAGUGAAUACGGAGUUGUAAAAGACCAAUUUGCGUCGCACCUUAUUCAACAUGCGACGCAGAUACCGAGCCCAAUUUGCGUCGCACGUCACUCAACGUGCGACGCAGAUACCAAGGCCACGAGGCCCAAUUUCUUUUUAUUUCAACAACCCUAGCGCCCAUAUUUCAAUUUGAUAGAUAUUCGCCCAGAUUUCAGCCGCGUCACUCAUCUCCUCUCUCUCUCUCUCUCCCCCUCUCCCUCUCCCUCACUCAACCCUAAUUCCUCUCAGCCGUUUCAUUAUCAUCAUCUCUCUCUGUCUCCCUCUCCCUCUCCCUCACUCAACCGUAAUAAGCCGUUUCAUCUGCUUCUUCAAAUCGAACCAUUUGCUUCUUCACCAACAACGACAACACCAUUUUCAUCUGCUUCUUCAAAUCGAACCAUAUGCAUCUUCACCAACAACGACAACACCAUUUGCAUCUGCAUCUUCAAAUCGAACCAUAUGCUUCUUCACCAACAACGACAACACCAUUUUCACCUGCUUCUUCAAAAAACAUCUGAUUCUUCACCAACAACGACAACACCAUUUUCAUCUGCUUCUUGAAAUCGAACCAUCUGCUUUUUCACCAACAACGACAACACUAUUUUCAUCCGCUUCUUCAAAUCGAACCAUCUGCUUCUUCACCAACAAUGGCGAUUUUUCAUCGUUUUUCCCCCAACGAGCCCUUCGAAUUUUCUUACUAAUGUUUUCACUACUGCUAACAGGUAUUGAAGAACGAGAUUUGAAGAAAGAACGAAGUUCGCUCUGAUUUUGGCAAUUUAGGUUUUUUUUAAAUAUAUUUAGUGCAAUUUCAUUCUUGUAUGUUAGAUCUGAUUUUUUUUUUCGGUUCAUUUUUUUAAUUUCGUUUUUUGUAUGUUAGAUCUGAAUAUUUAAGUUUUUAAUUUCGUAUUUAAAUUUUUUAAUUUUGUA